Molecule: long non-coding RNA, 1522 nt
Organism: Dreissena polymorpha
Lineage: Eukaryota; Metazoa; Mollusca; Bivalvia; Myida; Dreissenidae
Exons: 2
Source: RefSeq, a predicted model, not a curated record
ACACAUGUUUUUAAAACACAAGGGAAGCAAAACUUGUUUUUUAUAUACAUGGCAUUAAUAUGUUUUAAAAUGCUACACAUAUGUUUGUUUUUCUGUUUUCUUUGAUGUGUUGAUAUUAUCGUCGACAAUACAAGGUCAAUUAUGCCCAAUUCAUAUCAAUAUAGACAGCAGCUGGUGUAUCCGACAAUGGUGAGUCAGGUUAAGGUAAUGUAGUGGGGUAGGGGUUCAAAUAACUAGAAACGCCGCCCAAGGUUCGAUAUUUAUGUGACUGUCCGAAUGUAUAUCGGAAUUCUCGUAUAUAUGUAUUUAUACAUAUAACAGAACAAAGAAACCAGGUUGGUAGAAUAUAAUCAAAGUUGCCAUACAAGUUUGUCUUGCGACAGCUAGAGAGCAAAAGAAAGCAUGGUCGGUAAUUUUCUCUGAAUUUCACAAAGGGUUUUGGAACUGACCAAUAAGAAUCUUGUUUCUUUGAAUUCUCUCAUUCUCACUGGACAAAACAUAUAUGACAUCACGGUACAUGGUUGGACGCACACAGGACAAGGGACUGAAUCUCACAAGAGAAUCAAAUGGACACCUACAAGACAAGGGGCAUAAACACUAGUACAGACACAUAGACACAUGCAGUAACACAGAGUGACCUAUCCUACAGUAAUUUAUUUGAUGGCAACUAUUUUGUUCUCUUCCGACGCGAUUCUGAAAGCGAGCUUCGAGAGAUUCUGUCAGAUCUGCACCUGUUCAUCAGAAACUUGAAAGAGAGGCGAAAUCCCAACAAAGCCGAUAAUUAAGCAUCGGCUGGCUGAUGACGAAGAGGAAUCGACUGUCGUUAACAAAAACAAACGUGGGCAAAACUAACACGGCUGGAAAGUGAUUGUUGAAACAGGGAUUCUAUAGUGCGUAGAAAGAAUAAUUGUUUUGCAAUAUUGUUUUAUGGUUCAUUAUUAAUUUAUUAUGAACUUACAGUGAAGAUUUUUCUUUAUCAAUUUAGGAAUUAUCGUUGUUAAUUAAAUGUACAGUGUUGAUUUGAACACAGACUUUAGUCCUUUGCAUAUUAAAUAAUAAUCAAUACUACCAAACAAAUGUAUCGUGUGUGCUGAUUGUAAGUGUUUCUCUGUAUUUUAAAAUGUAUGUAUUUCUCACCGCAGCCAUGACGACUAAAUACAUUGUUGUAGCCAGGAAAUUAUAAAAAUCUUCGAAAAUUAGAUGAAAGAAAGUAAUGACUUGUUGAUAAAAUAAAAACGAUUAUACUAUAUGUUUUAUUACAGACUUUAUAAUAGCAUCCCUGUACAUUCGAAACCCACGCUAAAUCGACAGUUUAAGUCUCGACGCACUGAUAGACGAGGUAAACGUCCGAACAUAGUGGUGUGCUUACUCAUUAGCUUUGUUAUUAAAUCCCUCGUAAAUUUAUUGAAACCUUUUUUCAUUUUUUAUCCGGAAAUGUUCGUAUGAUUAUUUAAAAAGUAAGGCUUUCUCAAACACAUUCUUCAAAACGUUUAAGCACGUGAAAUAAAAUUGUUAAAUACAU